Molecule: long non-coding RNA, 2030 nt
Organism: Spodoptera frugiperda (fall armyworm)
Lineage: Eukaryota; Metazoa; Arthropoda; Insecta; Lepidoptera; Noctuidae
Exons: 3
Source: RefSeq, a predicted model, not a curated record
CAGGCGUUCGCGUCAUCGUGCUGUUUUACUGUUUCGCCAGGCAGUGUGACAAACCGCUGCAACUAACAGACAACUGAUUCAUUCAUGUUGUUAUAACGUUGUGUUUGUACGUAAAGGUUACGAAAUAUCAGUGUUGUUCCUUAAUUUAUUAAAUAAAGACACCAGUUAACACUGGUGCGUGACGAUGGGUUUGUGUCUUUCGUUCGACGUCGGCGACUGUGAGGUCUGCUGCAACCCUUGUUGCCUGGCGCUGAGUGCUUGCUGCCUGGUGCCCUGCCUGUGUCCCAAUGCAUGCGGCCAGCAGCAACAACCGCCACAGCAAGUGACCGUGGUACAGCAGCCACCGCCAGUAGUGUACGAGCAACCUCCUCCGCCACCACCCGGCUACCCAUACCCGCCGCCCGGAGGAUACCCACCACAAGGCGGCUACCAAGGCUACCCCCCACCACAAGGAUACCCAGGCUACGACCCUAACCAAAUGUACAGAUGAAAAGCUUUUAGUUAAGAAUGUGUUGUAACAUUAGAUGUCGUCCUUGUUGCUGUUGCUGCGUGCCGUGCUGUUGCUGUGACUGUUGCAGCGAACCUCAGCGUCCAGUUGUAGUCCACACGAACGUCAUCGUGCAACAACCUAAGCCCGGUCAAGUGGCCCAGCCAACUGCACCUCCACCAUACAGAUAUUGAAAACCCUAACCUCAAAUGAUUUGGCAAACCGUUUAAACACGUGUAUAGCUUCUAAGAGAAAUGCUUGCAGAUAUAUUAGACAUUAUUAAUAGGGCUACCUCCGUAUUCUGUCACAAAAACUUAUUUUUAUACGUAAAGGGAUAAUGUACUUAUUUUAACUGUAAAAUGUUUUGUUCCCUUCAUUUGUACUUUGCUAGAAGGUGACAAAACAUUCUCCAUUAUAUUGAAUUAUUAUAGUUUAUAUUUAAAAUGGUUAUUAUCUAAAUAAUACUAAUGUAGAAUUUGUGUAAGUCUGUCUAAGCAGAUGAGGCAUCGAAUUAACAUUAUUUCAUGUGUCCAUUCUCUUUAGCAUUUGAUAUAAUCGUUUAUGCAAGUAUUUUGUACUAUCAAGAAUAUAUAAACUUGUGUUAUCAAGUAAAAUUUCAUUAUGUUCUGCCAAAUAACUCUUGGAUAUCGGGAACAGGGUAAAUGAUCUAUCCACCUAGUAAAACCUGGGGAUUCAUGGGAAAACAUAAAAGUUAUUUGUUUAAACAGUAAGUUAGUAAGCAGCAAUCAAGGAUACUAAAUGUUACACUGUAGAAAAACAUUGUUAAUAUAUAAAUAUUUUACCAAAUAAUUUAGAACAUUAUGUUAUUUUUAAGCAAGUAAAUGGUGGACUUUAUUUUGUACUGCGUUUCACAGCGUGGGAUGAAAGAUAAAGUUGUUAUCUAUAAUAUUUAACAUUUCUUUUCUAAGCUGUGAAAACUGAGAUAAGAGAUUGUAUAAAUAUUGUCAUUUAAAAGUAAACUUUAGUUUAAAGACAUUUAAUGCCAUUUUUACUGCAGCUGUUAAUUAUGUUAGCUUUACGUGCAUUAGUGAAGAAACCAUUUUUCUACAAUUUUUCUCUAGUAAUGUCGUUGUGAAAUCUUUCUACCUUCUAUUGUUAUCAUUUAAUCGAGGCUUCAAGAUAUGAAUUGUGUAUUUUUCCAAGUGUCUACGUUGAUAGGAGACACAUUUGUAAUUGUGAUAAUAUCGGUAGAAUAUACCUAUUUUACCUCGAUUGUAUAUAAUUUAAAACACAUAUUUAUAUAAAAUACAAUACAAAUAUAUAAUUGAAAAUACAUAUAGGCAUUGUGAUAAUAAAACAUAGUAGGCUUGUUGAACUUAUAUUUAUAAGAAAUACGAAUGUAUAGUUGUUCAAUGUACAGUUUGUUAUAUGAAGUAAAUAGGCAAAAUAACUAGACCUCAGUCAAAGUACGUAAGGAACUAGUUUUAUAUAGAUUUACAUAUUUAAAUAUUUAUCACACAUAUUACAAAAAAUAUUUUAUUACCUACGUAUUUAUUUAAUGAGAUAAAAUUAUAUUAAUGUU